RNAcentral lists this long non-coding RNA (718 nucleotides) under Gossypium barbadense (sea-island cotton). RNAcentral's name for it is "long non-coding RNA (GBAR_LNC022595)". The record is from RNAcentral. Lineage: Eukaryota; Viridiplantae; Streptophyta; Magnoliopsida; Malvales; Malvaceae.
UCAUUGAAAGCCUCACUUAGAGGAAUAAUUAUAUAUGAGCUUUUAUUCUAUAAAUAUUCAAAGAUAUUCACAUCGUACGAGGACUUAUUUCUAUUAAAAACUUAAUUGUUAAGUAUUCAUAUCGAGUCCCUCUAUUUGUCUGGCUUUCAACCUUAGAAUGGGCGAACUGAUUACCUUCAAUACCACCCACUCCCUUCUUCUCCACCUCCGUUAAUACCGUGUAUCAACAAUGAUGUGGCAAGCGUAAACUGAUUGAGCUUUACCCCUAUUCAAUGAAAUGGCUUGACCACAUUUAUUCAAAAAUUAUUGUGGCCAGAGAGUUUUCGUUUGUUUUCAAUUGAAUAGUGGAUAGGUUUUCUGAAACAUGGGCAAACGAAAACAACAAGUGAAUUGGUAAUGGGUCUCCUCACCUCUCAUUCCAAGUCCAAACCAAAAUCAUCCACUAAAACAAUCAAACCAUCGCCAAAUUCCUGACUCUAUCCCCAUCUUCUUCAACACUACUCAAUUUCCUACCAAGUUCAAACCCCAACUCUGCGAGCUCCGUCAAGAGUUCAGCCUUUACCAUCAAUUCAUCUCAUCUUCUGUUGAAUAAAGUAGGGAUUUGAAUGCCAUGCGACUUGAAAGGUUAAUUUGGGCAUUCGAUUUUAUAUUUUAGCUUGGGCUGAAAUCAAAGUUAGCAAUACCUAAUUUCUUCAUUCAAGAUUUUAUGAUGUACAGG